Molecule: long non-coding RNA, 282 nt
Filed under: Sorghum bicolor (sorghum)
Lineage: Eukaryota; Viridiplantae; Streptophyta; Magnoliopsida; Poales; Poaceae
Description: long non-coding RNA (SBIC_LNC017612)
Source: RNAcentral
UGGGGUUGGCCCAUAGGUGGCCUUUGAAAGGUAGGGUUGGUUUGGUGGGGAAAAGGGCACUCUUUAGAGAAAUGCCCAGGCUUACCACAAUUGAAGCAAGGGUAAUUGUGGCUGGGUGAAGCAGUGGGGCGAACACCCGGGGCGUUCGGCUGGCGUGGUGCAAAAGCGAUGGCAGUAGGUCGAGAAUAUACCUGCUGCCCGGGUCUGUACUGUGGAGGGGAGAAAGGACCACGAUAAGGUAACGGCGCUUGGAAACGUCCGUGGCCCUGUGGAUGAUAAAUG